Equus caballus (horse) is the source of this 13665-nucleotide non-coding RNA. Lineage: Eukaryota; Metazoa; Chordata; Mammalia; Perissodactyla; Equidae. The record is from RefSeq and is a predicted model, not a curated record.
GCAGUGGAGCUUGUGAACUUAACCACUCGGCCACGGGGCCAGCCCCAGGGAAAACAUCGAAGCCAUAUCAACCGGGAAGCUACUUACAGAACGAGAAAACUGUGUGUCCAGCAGAGCUCACGAUUCCCUUCAGUAUUUGCUGGACUUUCCUGGAGAGGAAGGUGGCAGUGGACCUACGUCACAGGUUGUAGCAAAUGUUCUCAACAUUUCUAUUGAAACCUUUAUCUCUGCUUGCAAGAGGAGCCCCAGAGCCUCAUCCCUGUGGGAGUGACUGUCCUCUGAUAUAAGCGUUGUUCACCAGGGAGCUUUGGCAAGAAAACUGGCUAGAUCAGCAAGUCCAUCUCCACUGUGAAAAAGCAACUUGAAGCUCAUCUCUAUUGACGGCUGCUGAAAUUCUGGUGGGGAUUGUGUUGAAUACAUGAAUCAACCUGGAAAGAGUUGCUGUCUUAACGAUAUUGAACUUUCCACUCCAUGAACCUGUUUGCAGGGAAACUGGCCCUGAGUUUGCAGCAGAGCGUUAUGCAGCACCUCUCACUUCAUCCGUCAGAGAGCAACCUGAAUGAAUUUCACUUUUUAGUGGGUAUUGGAGUAAUGUGACUGAAAAUUGUGUGGAUGAAAAGCAUAGAGACCCAAUUCUUCCACAUUCUUUGGAUGCAUGACGACAUGGGGAGAACAGAGUGAACUGAGAUCUCUGGCUAGUGUUAUAUGUAGGUAGGAUUCAGACAGCAGUAAAGGAAUUUGGAUUUCAGACAAAAGUCAAGCAUUAGAGAAGAGAUUGAAAUAGAAGAGACUGAAGUCCCGAAAAGAAGAGCCACAUAUAUGAAACCCUGCGGAGAUUCUAGCUUAAAUCCAUAAUUUAUGGGCAAAUGUGAACUUCACUAUGAAUUUCUCCUAAAAAUUUGAUUUACAGUUUACUUUCUCAAGAUUCAUUUUGAAUUACGGAGAUCAUAUUCUACUGUAACCUCUUAUGAAAGGAUUUCAAAAUCAGUGAUAUAAUCACAAAUGGAAUUUCAAGAAACAUUUUAUGAAACCUUAUGCCCUCUAAGCGAGAGGGAUACACUAUUUCUAGUCUGAGACACACGGAAACACCAUGGAAAAUUGCCUCCUAACAGCAAGGAGCAAACAGCUUUAAAAAAUAGAUUAAUUUAUAGAAAAGUGAUAGAGAAGUGGAUGUGCUGUGUAUAAUAAGGAAGUGAAGUGCGUAAAGAAUCGAAAAAGGAAUUCAGAAGCAGCCGGAUGUACUGUCUAUAGGACGGGGUUAGACUGAGUACUCCCUGCUUCACUGAAUACCUGCUUCAAAUCACCUUUCACAUUUUCUUGUUGGAAAGACAACCAUUGGAGAAUUAUCUUGUUACCGUCAGCAAAAAUGGAAACAGAUCAAAACAUUAAGAAUGCCACGGCGGCCAGCAGUUAAUGAUGCCAGUGUUAUGCAAGCUUCAGCAAAGGAAGUUUUCAAGACAGUGUGCCUCACUAGCCAGAAAUCAGAGAUCAAACCUAUUCUUUUUGUCUCAGCUGCUCCUUAAAUCAGUGCAACCCCUCCAAAUUAAUGUGAACUGAAAUGUGCAUGGCCUUUUCAACUUAACUGAGUACUUACUAUGUGUGAAUCACUGAACAAAAGAGAGGAGAGAAAAUGAGGGAGACAAAUAAGUUGUGGUUCCUGUGUUCAAUGUAUUUACAAUUAGUUUUAGGGCACAUUUGUUUUUUUGUCUUCUGCUCUUAAUUAAAUGUGUCCCUAAGACAGGAAACAAAUGAAUGGAAAAGUGUAUUCAGUAAGUAUUCCUUUUAAUAAAAAACAAAACAAGACAAAAAAAACCUCCUAAUGUGGGCAACUCAGGACGUCUUAAUUCCUUUUUUUUUGGACUUCCAAUAGGUAGGGUUCAUUUUAUUGAUUCCAUAUUCAAUAGACUUUAGAGAUAUUAACACAUUAUAGUUGGAGUUAAUUUGACUUAAAUCUUUUUUCCCACUUAGGUGUAGUUGGCUGUUGCAAAAAUAUUUUGUGUUUGUACAUUUCUUGAGGAGUGGGGAGGCAAAUUACAUCUGUUGUCUGUAUAGGCCCUACCUUCCAUGCCCUGGGGGCCUGCCAUUCUGGGUGAGUUAUUAGCAUGGAGAAGGGGAAGAUUUGGAUCAAUCUUGGGGGUAUUGCUUGUGGACCCAAGAGAGGACAGGGAAGGAGCCAAACAGACCUGGGUAAUGGCUCUGUGUGAACAUUUGGCUAACUAUGUCAGUGUUGACUGUGUUGUCCUCUGUGUUCCAUAAGUUGAAUGACUAUACAAUUUUUCUGAAAAAUUAUUUCUGGUCUGAAAUAAGUACAGGUCAUGAUUUUUUCAGUGUUGACACUAACAUGACUGUAGACACUAGACAUUUUAUGUAGUGUCUGUGACACAUUUUAGUAUGUAUGAGCCAACCAAAAACAUAUCUUUGUCUUGAGUAGUGUCCAUCUGAAUUGAAAAUGUGCCAGCGUUUUUUUCAGCAUCAUCAACAGACUUCUUAAUUAAGCUGCCAAUACAUACUGCCAAUAGCACUGUGUGCCAUUUGAGAAAUGAAUUGUGUAAGUACUGUUUCCCUCUUAUUGAUAAACAAUGUUUCUCCAUAAAAAACAAGUUUAAAGUGUUCUUUGAAUGGGGUGUUAUAUUGUUCCCUAAAGAAUUUGGUGAGAAUUCUCAUACCAUCCCUUUUAAUUUAAUUUCUAAAAACUGUUAUUUUGCUCCUCAGUAAGGAAUAGCUCUAAUUUGACCAAUGAGUUUAGCUAUAUGAUUCAUCCUUAAUAGAAUGAAUUGACCCACCUUCAAACUUCUGAUGGUGGUAUUGGAUAUUUGUUAUGUCACUUUCAGUUUGUGUGAAAUUGCUGCCAGGAAAUCUGAGUUAUGAACCUGUGUUGUACUAAUUGUAGAUAUUUAUUUCCUGUUUUGGGAGAUUUUUAGGUGGGACCAUCUCUAUUCCUGGUGCCUAGCAUGGUGCCUGGUCCAUAGUGGGUGUGUGUUCAGUAAGCAUUUGGUGAUCAAGGUGUGUAAAGUAGCUGUUUGCUUCUAGGGUUCUUAAGGCUCUAUAAAGACAGAGGGGGUCUUGCCAACAGAGUAACACCUUUAUUGCUUUGCAGUUUAUAGUCAAUCUACUUAGAAGGAGUGCAGAUCAACUGGAUUCUUCAUAGACAGUCUAGUCCACUGGGCCUCUUCCUUGGUGACUUGGACUUAACCACUUCAGCCCUGUGAUUUGUUCCCUCCUCCACUCUGCCUCCCUUGGCCCUGGCCCCGUUCUACACAAGGGUUGGGCCUUGGAAGGGCUGCUCCGCUCUUCCUCCUCUGGCUUGUCCGUCAACAGAUCAAUCACUCUGUUUACUGGGUGCUCACGACAUGAUGUGCCAGCUGCUGGGCUAAGUGCUUUACCUGCAUCCUCUCACUGAAUUAUCUCAUUUACACCUCACGACAACCAUUGAAGAAGGUGUUAUCCACUGCAGAGGCGUGUGUCUUGGUGAAGUCAUAGGGGUCUAAAUCUAGAUCUCUCAGAUUCAAAAGGCUGAACUAUUGACCCCUACCCUCUGCUGCAUCCCAGGAGAAAGUCCCAGUGCCUGGGAGAGGGGCAGAUCAGAUCUGAAUCUAGUCCAGAUUCACUGCAUUUAGUAUUCCUGAACAGCAAACUGUCUCAGAGAUAAAACCCAGCAAAUCACAGUUGUUCUGAGAAUGGGGGAGGGGCAGAGCAAUUGGGAGAAGGGAAAGUUGGAAACAGACCAAUUUGAGUCAAACCUUUAGCCUUUACCUUAUAGUGCUCUUUUUUUUAAAACUUUCUUUUUUAUUUUUAACAUGUGAUACCAUGUGAUAAAUCAAAGCCUGACGUAAUUGACCCAGAAUUGAUCCCCCAACGUCUUUUGGGGGAACAUGCUUUAACUCUGGUUGUUGAUUCUGAGGAAUAAUUGCCACCCUAGAAAGGUAAUUACACAUGCCAUUGUCUAUACACAUAAUAGGCUCAGAAUGCAUGUUCUGCACAGAGGGGAAGAGAAUCCUGCCUGCACAUUAGGGGUGUGUGCUAUGUAUUGUGUCACAAUGUCACAAGUAGCAUUUGAACUGCUCCCAAAGACUGCUGAUUACCCCGACGUGUGUGUGUACUCAUGCACACGUGCGUGUGUGCAUGUGCAUGUGCACGUAUUCAUGUGUGUGAGUGUGUGUAAGGGAGAGGUUAGAAGGCGGAAGGGAAUGGGCUGUGGAAGGCUGUUUGUUGAGCUGAAAUGGCAGUGGUUGGCUUUUGCUUAAUUUUUUAGUUUACCAAAACAUCUUCUGGAUCUGAUUCAUUUAGUGUGGUCUGGUAAAAAGACUGUUUUCUUCCUGCCUGGCAUAUGCUUAUUAAUGAGUUCUCAUAUUUCUUUCCAUCAAGGGCUGUUUACUUUGUGGAACUAAAAAGUGAGAAUCCUUCUCCGCAACAUCCUCCUAAAUGCCCUGGUUUUGACCACCCCUUUAAAUACACCAAAGAGCCAGCUGGAGCCGUAGCUCGUGCCUUUCCUCUCACUGUGCUUUCUGGUAAAACGUAAAUGGGAUUUAAACCGCAAAUGACCAAUUAAAGCACUUCAUGCCUUUUUCCUUUAGCCAUAAGACAGUAGUUAUCCUAAGUAAAUACAACAAACAGGCUAUUUUGUGGUAGUCUAGCCCUAGCAACAUAUUUUUUUUUAAAUCAAAGCCUGAAAAAAACAAAAUGUCAUGACUUUUUGUAGAGCUGCACAAUGAAGGAAAUACAUAUGUAUUCCAAUAUGGAACUGAGCAUUGUCUGAGGCCAAAGCAAUUCAUCCUGGGCUAUUCUCUGUCGCAGUGUCCAGCAAAUUGCAUGACCUGCUUGUUAGGCUUGACAACAGUGUUUUACCUAACAAAGGCCUCUGCAGCGCCGAGCAGCAGUGGAAUGUCAGAACGAGCACAUUUCACACACAGAUGUGCAGCCAUAAUAGCCUAUAAGAAGAUGCAUGUGGCAGGGAGCAAGGGGUGGGGGCUGGGCGCUCGGCGCGGGAUGGCAUGUGAGUGUGGAGGUUGGGGGCCAGCGGGAGGGGAAGGCCAGCAGUUAGCAGCCGGGACAUGGCCCCACUGACCACAUUUAAUCAGCCCUCUGUAAACAAUUCAACAUUUUCAUUGUUCUCUAAAAACUAAUAAAGAGAAACAAGCACUUUUCAUUCAUCUUGAAGUAAUUUUCUGUCAGGUUGGAGCCCCUCAUGGCCUCCAGCUUGUGCAAUGCGAGCUGUGUGAUACAACAACUAUUGCAAUUUAUUUUACAAACUCUGGUCAUUCACAUGUCAGUUAGUGUUCACCAAGCCGGCAUCUGAAAUUGUGCAGUUAACGAGUUUUACAACAUUUCUAUCAAGAGAAACUGUUUAGCAUAACUGACUCUUAAGGAGUUAUUAUACCUCUAAAAAUCCAUUUUAAGGGGCAUUAUUUAAAUAAAAUAGAAAAACGGUUCACUGCCUUUUAAAGGGGCUACAAAAAAAGUCCAUCAGCUCCAGUGCAGUAAUCCUCAGCUUAGAGCACUCUUGAGAGUACUUCUGGGAAUUGUCAGCAUAAUGAAAUGUUUUGUGAAAUGUCCAGAUAGAUUCCUCUACUCAACAAUUUUACUGCACCAUAUUUAUUUUCCUUCCAGUUUUUAAAGAAGUGAAUUACUUUUUGAGAGGAUGACUCUGUGUGGUGUAGAUUAACUGAGUACAUUAUUAUCCAGGUCGGAGCAGAAGUGAUGGUUCUCUUUGCAGUGUCAUCUGUAUGCAUCUGCAGACAGGAGCAAAGAAGAGAAAGGCAGCUUUUCCCCCUUAGUGCUUUAGCUCCAAGAGGGUCAAAUCACAAUGAGGCUUAUAGUUUUUCAUUUUCCUUGUGCCACGUUUUCCUCAGACUUUUAAACAACUUUGGUACACAAUGGCACCUGUAAAUACUUUCUUUAAACUUAGCAGAAUGGACUCUGUUUUCUUACCGUUAAGUAAAUAAAUACAGGAAAACCCGUACACAUGUACAUUGGCACAUGCAUAAUGACUCAUAUCGUUUGAAUCUGACCCAUUUCAAUAGGAGAUGCUAUUGAACAUUUUACUUAAAGAAGAAUAGAUCCCUCACAUUAACUGAGACGGCCAAUGACCCCAAACCAAUUAAUGGCUAGAGUCCAUAACGGAGCACUAUUUGGCAUAGCAGCAAGUUCACUUAGCAUAUUAUAUUACCUAACAGGAGUGGAAGCCACCGCUUGUAAUGUAAAUGGCUUAAUGGUUCUUUCUACGAUGAGUAAGACAAGGAGAAAAAUUAUGUUCUGCUGUAACGAGAGAUAUUCCAUAUCCUUAGGAUGUGUGUCUAUAACAUGGCACAUUUUCAUUUUGCCACAAACGGUCCCCUAAUUUCUUAGACUGAUGUUUGUGCACACAACUUUAAUUUUCUGAGGGAGGCAGGCAGGUGUUCUUGUGCCUGUUAGCUGUAUCUGCCCAUAAGAAACACAGUAACAUCCAUGAACCAAAUACAGUUUGACAUAAUUCAUGCCUUUAUUACCUCCUACAGAAUGAUAUUAUUUCAUGCUGGCACAUUAAUGUUUCCAGCACGAUACUGUCAUUCCUAGAAAUUUUACCUUCUGAAGUUCAAAUAUUGAGGAAUGAGUUUUACAGUUCUCUAGGUGCCUUAGAUUUGGGCACUGCAGAUAAUGUUCAGAUAAUGGGCAAAGAUCACAUCUGAAAACUCUCACCUCUUCUUGACCAAAAGUCUUGUUCCUAUUCUAUUUCUAUUUUUGCAAAUAAUAUUUCUUCAACUUAUCUUGUCAUACUUUGCUGCUAUUUGUUCCCCUAGUGAUGUAAACUCAAGAGAUGUUAACCAAAAAAUGUUUAACUGAUUGCAACUGGAGUCCAUUUGGUGUAGUACUUAAAUCUGUCCUAAUACUCCAGGAUUCAAAAUUAGUUAGGGCAGAUGGAGUGUACAAGUUUCCUAUUGCUGCCAUAACAAAUUACCACAAAUUUAGUGGCUUAAAAGAACACAAAUUUAUUAUCUUACACUUCUGUAGGUUAGAGGUCUCACUGGGCUAAAAUCACUUGUUGACAGAGCUGCAUUCCUUCUGGAUGCUCUGGGGGGAAUCAUUUUCCUUGCCUUUCCUAGCUUCUAGAGAACAUCUACCUUCCUUAGCUAGUGGCCCCUUCCUCCAUCUUCAAGACUAGCCCUGGCAAGUGGAAUCUUUCUCACAUGGCAUCCAUCUGACCCUUUUCCAUUGUCACAUCUCUCUCUCUCUCUCUGACUGUAGCCGAAAAAUGUUCUCCACCUUUGAAGACUCACGUGAUUAGAUUGGGCCCACCCAGAUGAUGCAGUAUAAUCUCUGUCUCAAGGUCCAUAUCCUGAGUCACAUAUACAAAGUCUCUUGCCAUGUAAGAAAUCAUAUUCGCAGGUUCUGGAGAAGAAGACUGGGGGCAUCUUUGUAGGGGAGACAUUAGUCUGCCUACCACAUGGAGUCUCUGAGAGUUCUUUCUCAUACCAAUAUUUUAAGAAUUAAUAGCAGACACUAGCCUAGUAGUCUCCAAACGUUAAAAAUCAUGCAUGAAAAUAGUUUUAAAAUUUGAGUAUGCACCCCAACAUAUGUACAUUUCCUUCUAAACUAUGCUAUUAUCUACAUUAAUAGUAUAUAUUUUAGUAGUAAAGCUUCAUUUCUUUUAAUAUAUAAAUAAAUAAAAGCAGACUUUCUAAAGGAUUCUUUGCACCCCUGUGCAUCAUCUCGUGUGCCCCUAGGGCUAUGUGCACCUUAUUUUGGAGAUGGAAAAAGGAUGAAGUUUGGAUUAACUUGUGUAAACGUGGCUCUUUAUUCUUUCAGAUAUAUAAGGCUUCAAGGUGAGGAAGGGACUGCAGAAACUUUUUGGUAGUCUCUGAUAGUUUUGGAAGUGAGGAAGAAAGUUAGUUAUUUGCUUCACUUACACUAUUACUGCCGUUUGCUGUUAUAAAGUGUGACAAUACAGAAUGUAACAUGCCCAAAACUUUCCUGAAAGUCGAGAGCUGCAAAUUAUAGAAUCGUAAGACAAAUGCCAUCUUAUAAAAGACUAGAAAGAGAUUGUUUACCAGAAAGCUCCAAAACAUGAGUUAGUUACUUGUCUCGAAUAAGGCCAUAUCUCAUUAGAACAUCUACUCAGAUCAGUGCACUUGGAAAUCCCGAGAAACUGAUUGCUCAAUGACCAUUUUAAACACUAGUGGCAAGGUCUGUGUGAAAAUUAGUUGAGAUGAAAGGUCAUUCUGCUAAGUUCACUUUAAAUCCUAUUUUUCAACUUUAAAAACAUCUAUAUUACACCAGCCACACUCCAUCUCCAUGGCGUAUGGGCUUCUUACAGCAUAGGAAAAGCAGAAAUUAUAACACAAGCCUACUGUUUAAGUCCUCUUGUGUUAAAAUUUGAGAUGUUUUCAGAGCAGUCACCCUCAAAAAUGGGAUCUUGCUGAGACAUGCUGACACACCUCUGAAAUCAAAAAGAGCUUCUGCUGGCGAAUGGAAGUAAGUUGCCACAAAAAUGUACAUCAAUUAGGAAACAAGUCAAUGAGUAUUUGCCAACUGCCGUAAGUGUCCCGGAGGCAGUCUGGGCAGUAUAUUUUUAUUUGAUUUGCCCCAGGCCACUUCCAUUCCCUUCCUGAAAGGUGCACAGGUAGUCUUCUUAAGUCCUUCGCUGAUAGUUUCCGUCAAUGACCUCAAAAUGUGACUGAUAAUAUGUCAAUGGUUACUGUACAAAGAAGUUAAACGUUACAGCUAAAUUUCCCCGCGAAUACCCAAUCCAGGGAUUAGCAACAAUAGGGAAUCUGUUUUAUUUGCAUUUAAUUUGUACCUUCACACUAUUAUCUCCCAUGUUUUAGUUUCAGGAAAUGUGGUCUCAGGCUAUUAUAACCACAUUUCAUGCUGCUGUUGCACUGUUAUUUGAUCUCUAUGGUUGGAAAUGACUUACUGAAAAAAUAAAGCAAGCAUACUUUAUUUUAAUUAUACCAGUGCAGUGUCUAAAUAAAAAAUGUACUUUAUAUUUAAUGUAGAGCACAGAUUAACAGUUUUAUGGGACAUAAAAUCUAUCUAUAUCAUUUUCUAUUUACACAUCAGUUAUAUAUCUUACUCUCAACAAAACAAAUGCGUACGGUGUGAAAACGAGGAAGGAGAGCAUCGAAGUGACAAUCGCAUGGGCAGUAAAUAACAUCUUAAUUGGUCUGGAAUGCCGGAGUUUGAUUUUUUUUUCUGCCUGGCUUUUAUUUAUUGAUCUCUAUAGCUUAUUUAUCUUUCCAGUGAUUUGUACAAGUCUAUCCCCUUUCCUCAAUAAGCCAAUCUAUGGUGGUUUUAUAUUGCAAAUCCCAUCUGGGGAAAUGGUCUAGUGAGAGAAGUGCAGUUGCUCCUGGAAAAGCCAUUAUUUAAAAGCUUUUGUAGAGGGAAGGGUAACUUCUCUGUUUUUACACUUUGUCUUCUGGAAAAAAGAAGGAAAGAAGAAGUGCAGCUAUUAUGAAGUUGCCACCCAAUGUGUGUUCCAACAAUUCUUUACUCUCCACUUGUUUGGCAGCAAUGAGAAAACAAAGAAGGAUUUAGUGUACACUGGGAAAUGUCUUUUAAAUGUUCCUGUACAUGAUUUAGCUCCUAGUGAGGGUAGCAGACAGGAAUGGAUUGUGUAUGUCUAAUACAUCAUAUGUAAACCCCGGAUUUUCUUCUGUAUACAUUUCUACAGCUCCAUUCCUAAUAUCUUUUUAAAAUAGCACUUUAGGAUAAACUACACUUCAAAUGACACAUUAUGCUCCAUAGUGCAGUUGAGAACUGGCAAAUGUAACCAUUGUCAGGAAAGCUGGUUGGCAAAAAAAUCCCACUCUUUUUCUGGUAUAUAGAUAUCUACAGCGGAAGUCAACUCUGGAAAAUUAGUGAUUUUUUUUUCCCUCCUGAAUCAAUGAUCCCCUUGUUUGUCACAUCUGCACUUCCAGUGUUUGUCGUGAUUCUUUUUGGUUCUCUUGAUCUCACAGAAUAUUAGAAGAGUGCUCUGAAAGAUUUCCUCUGUUGAUAGCUGAGGGAAAAACAAGUUUACAGAUGGCAAUGCUAUACUUAAGCAAUGCUAGCGAAGCUCUGCAAAGUGAUUCUAUAAACAUAUUCCAAAGAAGAGGCUCUGGUAACCCCUUGUAACCCUAAUAUCACCCUAACUGCCUUCAAAUGAGCUAAUGAAAAUUUGGGGCAGGUCUUUUAGAGAAUGAGUUUGCGUCUGACAUAAUUAGUGGUAGGCAGAUCUGACUGCAUCCAGGGGGAAUCUCCAGACAACUGCUUGCUCGACUAUUAGUGCUUAAUUUCUGAAUGUCAAACCCUGCACAUCUUAAUUUCUAGAGAAUAAGCUCAAUUGAACUUGCUCCCCAGUUAUGCAAAAACUGCUCAGAUAAAACCAAGUGGACACCAAUGUAAUGAAUGUGGUUAUUAAAUUGUUUCAAUUGAAAGAACCCUAUUCUUACACCAUCAUAAUGGGAACAAUUUAUCCCCACUGAUCGGCCUGUCUCUCUCCGUCUCUCUCUCGCUCUCUCUUUUUCUGAGCUCUCUUUGAUCUUGAAGCAUAUUGCGGUGGUGUGUCCUAUUGAAAAGCGAAACUGGGGCAAUUUUAAUGCUUUUGUACCUUACCAGUGCUCUAUUUUUUCGCUGUUUAAAAAUAGCUGUUAAUUAUAAGUGCGGUUUAAAUGUCUCAAGUGACCCAGAAAUGCAGGUUGGAAUGAGACAGAUUGUGUGUCUCAUAUAAAACAGAUGUACUUUCACAGAGCAUUCUGAACCCAGCCUUCCCUCUGUAUCCUCCUCUUAGGUUUUUUCAAUCAGGUAUUGAGCUGGUCUAGCACUGUGCUAUAAAACCCCACACAUCUGAACAGAGAAAAAGAAAAGUGGAUCUAUUUUUUUUUUGAGCCACAAAGAAAAGCCUCUUUUUGUAUAUCAGUCCCUACUAUGUGGGGGAAUAUGGUGCCGUUGGUGUUAGGUAAUGAGGCAGGGGCCACUGUCCUGACCGGGAAGACAAUAUGAUUUUCUAGAGCUCCACUCUGUCCAUCUCUUGGGUCAGGGGCUUUGUGUUUAAAGAACUCUGCAAUAGUGAUAAACAUAUCCCUCGAGGUCCUUCUUCAGCUUGAUUCAAUAGUGCCUGAGGACAAAUUAACCUCCUGCUAGGUUUCAAAGAUCUUUGAUUCUUCACUGGUUUCAGAAACUUGUAUUUUUAGCUCCUUUCUAAGACUGAGACCAUGGAGAUGGUCAUCCUACUGGUGAUGUUUCAGGGACCAAAGCUUUAUUAAGCAUGUGCUAAGUCAGUAAAAUCACGUUAUUCAUGUAUUCUGCUACAGUCUGAGAAAAUCUGUUGCUACCUAAUUAUAUGCAUUUGUAUACAUCAGGUUUGAAGGUGCUCCUAUUUAGUGUAGUCCAAGAAGUGAUUUCAAGGUUGAAUUUAAAAUAGAGUGCAUCCAAGUGGUCUGAUGAUUUUUUCCAAGUUCCUUAAGAUCUUUGGUACACAUCCCAAAGCCACCUGAACUGAACAUUUGGACAGUGAGGGAAGUCAAGACUCAUCCCCUUUCCUCCACUUGGAUCCAGAUCCCGUGGUCCAAUCUCCCUUGUGAUCAGGAUGGAAACAUCUCAUAAGGGGGAGAGCAGUUUUGUGCAUUGGCUCCCUGUCUGCUUCUAGCUAGAAAUGCCCAACAGCAGACUUCUUCAUUGCCUUAGCAAUAACACUGAGCAUAGUCAUGGUGUGGGCUUAGGGACCAAUUCUUUCUGUUCUUUCUAGAAAACUUGUAGACAUUUUAGUCAAGUUCCAAAUGCAGGCACUGAUGAACAUUUUUUUAUAGCUAAUUUUUCAAAUUGGUAAUUUUAACUUAAUUGAUUGAUUUGAUUCUAAUAUAACCAUUCUAAUUUGUCCAUUAAGAUUUAUUCAUUUAGUGUUCCUAACCUUGUAAGUGACAGUCCAAAGCACUUGGGUUAUGGUCUCAUGCCGAGUCUAUGAUUUAUUUUCAGGAAGAGGGAAGACAUGGCCUCAGGUAAGUUUAAGAGAAUCUGUGUCUUACAGAGUUGGUGCUGAAAACAAAUUCAGAAAAAGCAUUCUUUAACUCCAUUACUCAUAAAAAUAUUCCACUCACUGAGAUAUAUUUAUAUUGCUAUUGGAAGAGGAAUGAUAACACAUUUAUUGACAUAAUACAAAUACUAUUUCUAAGUAGAGUAACUGAAAGUAGAACUGUUGGGAAAGGUGGUCUUGGCUGUGGAGUCUUUCAACCUGCACUCAUCCCCGUAAGAAUGGGCCUUGGGCCUGAAACCUUCCUUCCCAAGAGAUGGAGCCCUCACAGCCUGUGCUGGCCUGUUCACCUUGUAUGGGCACAUCUUUCCCUGUUUGACUCAGUAUGUGCUCCUUUGUUGUGCUUAAGCACAUGUGUCAUGUGGCACCUGGCCAACCCCAGUGCUAUAUCUGUUCCCUGCGGGAAGAGGAUGAGGUCCCUCAUCUUUUGGCAUAAGAGGGGUACGUGCAGGCCAACAGUGCUGCUGCUGCUGGGAGUGACCCCUGGCCACGAGGGACAGAUUCCCACUACUGAAGCUGAUCUUGCUCUGUCUCUUCUUUAUGUGAGUCAAGUAUUGUUCCAUCCAGUGCCUGACUGAGUUUUGUUUUCCUUGGUGACUCUGAUACCAAGAUGCAGUGAACAGGAAUAGUCUGACUUCUACUCCUGGCGAUAGGCUACAGAUGCCACUCCUCAAUGAGAACAAAUUACUGUAUAAGAUAUAUGUGUUUGGAAAUGUCUUCAAUCCUUAGUUUCUAACCAGACUAUUGGGAGAAGUGGUAAAGACUGGUGUCAGUCUCGGGACAUCGAUAGCUAUUGAUUGUGGACAUUGAAUGGGCAUUGGGACUGUGAAAUCCAGGCCUGGAUAAGAGUGUGGAUAGAUGCUAGGUGUGGGGAUGGGUUAGGUUCUGGGUAAAACCUGGUUUUGAGAGGUCAGUAGGCUGGAAUGGGAAUGUCCUAGUUCUGAAAGCCAGGUGUUAAAAUUAUCCGUAGAAGCAACAAAAGAAUGAGGAUGAGAGCAAGCAGUGAGCUGGAAGCUAGGUAGACAUUUAAGAAAAAGGGAGCCUCCAGUUCCAGAUGUCCAAAUGAAGAAGUAGCCAAAAACCAUGCAAUUGCCAGCAGUGAGCCCCCUGGGGAGCUGAAGAGGAAUGACCCAACAGGCAGGCGCACAGGUAUGAGGCCUCGGCAACAGAAAGGACUAUGAUGGAUGAGACAGCUUUCUGAAUUCAGGUGCCAAGGAAGGGAGGGACCUCAGUCAGAUACCCAGGUGGAGCAAACAGGGGAGGGCCUCAGAUGCUGGCCUUGCCCAGGGGAGAGCUGACUUCUGGCAGGCAGAUGUUGAGGAUUGGUGUGUCUCAGGAGUCUGCAGGAACUACUAUCUAGUUUCAUUCUCUGGGUCCUGGUUCCUGUCUGCCUGACAGUUCUUGUCCUCCAACUCCCUCAGAAAUUUCCCAGUAAUAGCCUGGUUCAGGCCUUUUCUCUGACGGGAAAGCUCAUAUAAAGGCAGGAAGGCUCUAUACCAUGAUACGCACAAAGGCUAUGGGUGGUUAGAGCUGUUAUUCAUUUUCUUUUCUUUUAUUACUUGUAUUCUGUAAGUGAUCCUUUAUUACCUUUGUAAGAACUGAAAAACAUAAGUUAACUUAUUUUUAAGUUAUUUUUUCCAAUUUUAUUGAGAUAUAAUUGACAUAUAACGUAUAAGUUUCAG